GGCUUCGGCUCCGGCGCAAAGAGAGGCCCAAGUGAGAUUAGCUAGUUGGUAAGGUAACGGCUUACCAAGGCGACGAUCUCUAGCUGUUCUGAGAGGAAGAUCAGCCACACUGGGACUGAGACACGGCCCAGACUCCUACGGGAGGCAGCAGUGGGGAAUAUUGCACAAUGGGGGAAACCCUGAUGCAGCCAUGCCGCGUGUGUGAAGAAGGCCUUCGGGUUGUAAAGCACUUUCAGUUGUGAGGAAAAGUUAGUAGUUAAUACCUGCUAGCCGUGACGUUAACAACAGAAGAAGCACCGGCUAACUCCGUGCCAGCAGCCGCGGUAAUACGGAGGGUGCGAGCGUUAAUCGGAAUUACUGGGCGUAAAGCGCACGCAGGCGGUUUGUUAAGCUAGAUGUGAAAGCCCCGGGCUCAACCUGGGAUGGUCAUUUAGAACUGGCAGACUAGAGUCUUGGAGAGGGGAGUGGAAUUCCAGGUGUAGCGGUGAAAUGCGUAGAUAUCUGGAGGAACAUCAGUGGCGAAGGCGACUCCCUGGCCAAAGACUGACGCUCAUGUGCGAAAGUGUGGGUAGCGAACAGGAUUAGAUACCCUGGUAGUCCACACCGUAAACGCUGUCUACUAGCUGUGUGUGCCUUUAAGGCGUGCGUAGCGAAGCUAACGCGCUAAGUAGACCGCCUGGGGAGUACGGCCGCAAGGUUAAA
RNAcentral lists this ribosomal RNA (702 nucleotides) under Alteromonas sp. 36D7. RNAcentral describes it as "bacterial SSU rRNA". It matches the Rfam family "Bacterial small subunit ribosomal RNA", at positions 207 to 898 of the family's 1533-position model. The record is from RNAcentral. Lineage: Bacteria; Pseudomonadati; Pseudomonadota; Gammaproteobacteria; Alteromonadales; Alteromonadaceae.